AAAUUUUAAUAAAGAUUAAGUACUAAAUAGANNNCCCAACANUAGUUGACUACANUGAACAAGUUACUGUAGGGAUAACAGCGUAAUAUAUAUCUAAAGUUCUUAUUUUGAUAUAAGUUUGCGACCUCGAUGUUGAAUUNAUAUUACUUUCAAGCGCAAGAGCCUGAAAAGUGGGUCUGUUCGACCCCUAAAUAUAUACAUGAUUUGAGUUCAAAUCGGUGUAAACCAGAUUGGUUUCUAUCUAUUNUUAUUUGUGUCUUAGUACGAAAGGACCUGAAACAAUAUUAUAUAAUNAUUUAUAUGGCAGAAAAAUGCUUUAGAUUUAGGAUCUAAUUAUAAUAGAUUAUCAUACUCUAUUUAACUUGCCUAAUCUCUGUUAUUAGAAUCCUUAUCGCAGUAGCUUUUUAUAC
This 410-nucleotide ribosomal RNA is filed under the name Sancus acoreensis. RNAcentral describes it as "partial 16S ribosomal RNA". The stretch from base 1 to 242 matches the Rfam family "Bacterial large subunit ribosomal RNA", at positions 2096 to 2642 of the family's 2925-position model. Lineage: Eukaryota; Metazoa; Arthropoda; Arachnida; Araneae; Tetragnathidae. The record is from RNAcentral.